Molecule: ribosomal RNA, 565 nt
Filed under: Pucciniastrum epilobii
Lineage: Eukaryota; Fungi; Basidiomycota; Pucciniomycetes; Pucciniales; Pucciniastraceae
Description: eukaryotic LSU rRNA
Rfam family: Eukaryotic large subunit ribosomal RNA
Source: RNAcentral
AACGGCGAGUGAAGAGGGAAAAGCCCAAAUUUGUAAUCUGGCCUUUCUUGAAAAGGUCCGAAUUGUAAUUUUGAGAACUGUUUUCUGUGCUGGACCAUGUACAAGUCUGUUGAAAAACAGCAUCAUUGAGGGUGAAAAUCCCGUAGAUGAUAUGGACUACCAGGGCAAUAUGAUACAGUCUCUAAGAGUCGAGUUGUUUGGGAAUGCAGCUCAAAGUGGGUGGUAAAUUCCAUCUAAGGCUAAAUAUAGGUGAGAGACCGAUAGCAAACAAGUACCGUGAGGGAAAGAUGAAAAGAACUUUGGAAAGAGAGUUAACAGUACGUGAAAUUGUUAAAAGGGAAACAUUUGAAGUUAGACUUGUUAUUGUUGGAUCAGCUUCUUUAUUGAGGUGUAUUCUGAUGAUUAACAGACCAGCAUCAAUUUUUGAGUGCCGGAAAAAGGUAUUGGGAAUGUAGCAUCCCUCUGGUUGUGUUAUAGACCUUUACUUCAGAAUACGGUGCUUAGGAUUGAGGAACGCGGUAAGCUUUGUUGCAGAACCUUGUUAAACACAGGGGUCUCCUUACUA